Long non-coding RNA from Lolium rigidum, 410 nucleotides. RefSeq lists it as uncharacterized. Lineage: Eukaryota; Viridiplantae; Streptophyta; Magnoliopsida; Poales; Poaceae. The transcript has 4 exons. The record is from RefSeq and is a predicted model, not a curated record.
CAGGCUACAGGCAGGAAAUACAGUGGACGGUUGCUGCUGGAGAUUGGCGUGAGUUCUUGCGAUGUCAUGCAGGAUCAUGUAAUUACCGUCAAGAAUGCUGCCAUUCGCUGAUUGCAACUAAAUGUACAGAUGAAAGGUCCUUUUGUUUUAAUGCUAUUGAUGCAUCGCAAGUUGGUGAAACUGAUUUGUCUAGGUGGAUGCAAAAUUAGGAUUGAGUUUUACACAUGCUGUUCUCGUUGCUCCUGUCAAGGUUUGCUUCUGCUUGCCUGUGUAAAGUGUAUGCUUGCCUGUGUCACACCAGAAGCGGGAUUUUUUCUUGUUUGACUUUGUGUUCUUGACCUCGGACCAUGAGGUAUAAGCUCCAUUGCAUGGUGGGUUAUCUCAAAACGAUCAUGUGGAAGAGUAUAUGG